CCUACGGGAGGCAGCAGUGAGGAAUAUUGGUCAAUGGGCGCAAGCCUGAACCAGCCAAGUAGCGUGAAGGAUGACGGCCCUACGGGUUGUAAACUUCUUUUAUAAGGGAAUGAAGUGCGGCACGUGUGCCUUUUUGUAGGUACUUCAUGAAUAAGGCACGGCUAAUUCCGUGCCAGCAGCCGCGGUAAUACGGAGGAUCCGGGCGUUAUCCGGAUUUAUUGGGUUUAAAGGGAGCGUAGGUGGUUUGUUAAGUGAGUGGUGAAAGUUUGUGGCUCAACCGUAAAAUUGCAGUUGAUACUGGCAGGCUUGAGUACAGGUGAGGUAGGCGGAAUUCGUGGUGUAGCGGUGAAAUGCUUAGAUAGCACGAAGAACUCCGAUUGCGAAGGCAGCUUACUAAACUGCAACUGACACUGAGGCUCGAAAGUGUGGGUAUCAAACAGGAUUAGAUACCCCUGUAGUC
RNAcentral lists this ribosomal RNA (460 nucleotides) under uncultured bacterium. RNAcentral describes it as "partial 16S ribosomal RNA". It matches the Rfam family "Bacterial small subunit ribosomal RNA", at positions 338 to 795 of the family's 1533-position model. The record is from RNAcentral.